RNAcentral lists this ribosomal RNA (253 nucleotides) under uncultured bacterium. RNAcentral describes it as "partial 16S ribosomal RNA". It matches the Rfam family "Bacterial small subunit ribosomal RNA", at positions 524 to 776 of the family's 1533-position model. The record is from RNAcentral.
UACGGAAGGUGCGAGCGUUAAUCGGAAUUACUGGGCGUAAAGCGCACGUAGGUGGUUUUAUAAGUCGGAUGUGAAAGCCCCGGGCUUAACCUGGGAAUUGCAUCCGAGACUGUCUGACUUGAGUAUGCUAGAGGGAAGUGGAAUUCCAGGUGUAGCGGUGAAAUGCGUAGAUAUCAGGAGGAACACCAAUGGCGAAGGCAGCUCGCUGGGACGUGACUGACGCUGAGACGCGAAAGCGUGGGGAGCAAACAGG